CAAUAGCGUAUAUUAAAGUUGUUGCAGUUAAAAAGCUCGUAGUUGGAUUUCUGGGAGGGUGCCGCCGUCCGGCGUGUCCGUGUGCAGUGGCGCCCUUCCAUCCUUCUGUUAGCGUCUCUUGGCAUUCAUUUGCUGGUGGCGGGCUCAGAUAUUUUACCUUGAGAAAAUUAGAGUGUUUCAGGCAGGCUAGGCCGGAAUACAUUAGCAUGGAAUAAUGGAAUAGGACUACGGUCUCUUUGUUGGUUUGAGGGACUGCAGUAAUGAUUAAUAGGGAUAGUUGGGGGCAUUAGUAUUUAAUUGUCAGAGGUGGAAUUCUCAGAUUUGUUAAAGACUAACUUAUGCGAAAGCAUUUGCCAAGGAUGUUUUCAUUAAUCAAGAACGAAAGUUAGGGGAUCAAAGACGAUCAGAUACCAU
Molecule: ribosomal RNA, 414 nt
Filed under: uncultured eukaryote
Lineage: Eukaryota
Description: SSU rRNA
Rfam family: Eukaryotic small subunit ribosomal RNA
Source: RNAcentral